CGAAGUCGGGGAUGAAGUCCGGCUCCCGUAGGAGUCCGGACGAAGUCUUCCUACAGUCGGAGUCGGAGAUGAAGCCCGGCUCCUGUAGGAGUCUGAACAAAGUCUUCCUGCAGUCGGAGUCGGGGACGAAGUCCGGCUCCCGUAGGAGUCCGUCCAUCGUGAAGAAUCUGAUCGAUGUUGGACGGGGUUUAUCCAUCGGC
Molecule: long non-coding RNA, 200 nt
Filed under: Elaeis guineensis (African oil palm)
Lineage: Eukaryota; Viridiplantae; Streptophyta; Magnoliopsida; Arecales; Arecaceae
Description: long non-coding RNA (EGUI_LNC032034)
Source: RNAcentral